AAGUUGUAACAAGGUUUCUGUAGGUGAACCUGCGGAAGGAUUAUUACUGUAGGGCUUUGGCCCUAUUAAGAUAGCACCCUUUGUUUAUAAGUACCCUUGUUUCCUUGGCGGGCUUGCCUGCUAGUAGGACAUUAAAAACCCUUUGCAGUAGCAGUAACUUUAGUUAAAAAAUAAAUAUUAAAA
Molecule: unclassified non-coding RNA, 183 nt
Filed under: plant metagenome
Description: partial contains small subunit ribosomal RNA and internal transcribed spacer 1
Rfam family: Eukaryotic small subunit ribosomal RNA (bases 1-46)
Source: RNAcentral